GCCUGGCUGGCUUAGUCUGUGGAGCAUGUGACUCUUGGUCUCAGGGUCGUAGGUUUGAGUCCCACGUUGGGUU
This 73-nucleotide transfer RNA is filed under the name Ailuropoda melanoleuca (giant panda). It matches the Rfam family "tRNA". From Rfam's summary of the family: Transfer RNA (tRNA) molecules are approximately 80 nucleotides in length. Their secondary structure includes four short double-helical elements and three loops (D, anti-codon, and T loops). Lineage: Eukaryota; Metazoa; Chordata; Mammalia; Carnivora; Ursidae. The record is from Rfam by way of RNAcentral.